CAAGGAUGGGUGACCUCAUGGGAAGUCGGGCGAGAGUAGUACAAGGAUGGGUGACCUCAUGGGAAGUCCUCGUGCUGCAUUCCC
Molecule: ribosomal RNA, 84 nt
Filed under: Triticum aestivum (bread wheat)
Lineage: Eukaryota; Viridiplantae; Streptophyta; Magnoliopsida; Poales; Poaceae
Source: RNAcentral